This 253-nucleotide ribosomal RNA is filed under the name uncultured bacterium. Its description in RNAcentral is "partial 16S ribosomal RNA". It matches the Rfam family "Bacterial small subunit ribosomal RNA", at positions 524 to 776 of the family's 1533-position model. The record is from RNAcentral.
GACAGAGGAUGCAAGCGUUAUCCGGAAUGAUUGGGCGUAAAGCGUCUGUAGGUGGCUUUUUAAGUCUGCCGUCAAAUCCCAGGGCUCAACCCUGGACAGGCGGUGGAAACUACCAAGCUGGAGUACGGUAGGGGCAGAGGGAAUUUCCGGUGGAGCGGUGAAAUGCGUAGAUAUCUGGAGGAACACCGGUGGCGAAGGCGGCAUCCUGGACCGGCAUUGACGCUGAGGCGCGAAAGCCAGGGGAGCAAACGGG